This 497-nucleotide ribosomal RNA is filed under the name uncultured bacterium. RNAcentral describes it as "partial 16S ribosomal RNA". It matches the Rfam family "Bacterial small subunit ribosomal RNA", at positions 28 to 507 of the family's 1533-position model. The record is from RNAcentral.
GAUGAACGCUGGCGGCGUGCCUAAUACAUGCAAGUCGAGCGAACAGACGAGGAGCUUGCUCCUCUGACGUUAGCGGCGGACGGGUGAGUAACACGUGGAUAACCUACCUAUAAGACUGGGAUAACUUCGGGAAACCGGAGCUAAUACCGGAUAAUAUAUUGAACCGCAUGGUUCAAUAGUGAAAGACGGUUUUGCUGUCACUUAUAGAUGGUCCCGCGCCGCAUUAGCUAGUUGGUAAGGUAACGGCUUACCAAGGCAACGAUGCGUAGCCGACCUGAGAGGGUGAUCGGCCACACUGGAACUGAGACACGGUCCAGACUCCUACGGGAGGCAGCAGUAGGGAAUCUUCCGCAAUGGGCGAAAGCCUGACGGAGCAACGCCGCGUGAGUGAUGAAGGUCUUCGGAUCGUAAAACUCUGUUAUUAGGGAAGAACAAAUGUGUAAGUAACCAUGCACGUCUUGACGGUACCUAAUCAGAAAGCCACGGCUAACUACGUG